This 1149-nucleotide long non-coding RNA is filed under the name Homo sapiens (human). RNAcentral describes it as "HSALNT0185949". Lineage: Eukaryota; Metazoa; Chordata; Mammalia; Primates; Hominidae. The record is from RNAcentral.
GCAUUAACACAAGAAAAACAGUUUAUUAAGGCAUGCAGCGCACAUCUCAAGGGAGAAACGUCAGUGAAAAGUAACUCAAAAUGGUGGCUUAGAACUCCACUUACAAGGCAUCUUCAACAAAGAAAAACAAACGUGUAGAGAAAUGACAGGACAAAGAAAAGUGGUUUUAGGUUUCCAAGCAUGGGAAAUUAUGGGAAGGUAAAUACAUGGGAGUCAAGUUUGUUUGCAGACUCUCCUGGGGCCUCUCAGGGCUGACAGGAAUGUAGAGCUGUCUCCAGUAAGGGAGAAUCUAUAUCCUGUCUUCAGGAAGAAAAGCUAGAGGAUAAGAGUUUUUUCCCCGUUUGCUGCUUCUCAAUUGCCUUCAGCUCAAAAAUAAUUUUUAUGUCAAAGAAGCGUAUUUGGGGGUGACAUAGUCUGGUUUCCUAAAGAGGGACUGUGUGGUCAGACGAGAAGAGAACCACUAGGAGUUGUGUACACAGCAGCAGCACCUAAAGGCGAGAAAGAAGGCCACAGCCCACACAACCAGGAGGGAAGGAGAACGCAGCCAGCAUUGAGACAGGGCCCUUGGCUGAGCAGUCCGCAGGCCCAUGUGUGAGUUCUCAAUUAGCUGUCAUAACAUUCUGAAUUUAUUAUCUAUGGUCAUUAGUCUCAUAUUUAUCUCCCCAAGCAUGCCUAAGCAUUCAUGCAGCUGUUGCAGAUGGGGGAACCCUGGUCAGUGAUUGGCCUCCUCAUGCAAACUGGGCCAGUGAAUCUCCGUGGAGGCCACGCUUUCCUGACCCAACAGUCAGCUCCCAGGAAGAAGUCCUCCCUCAUUUUCAAGGCCUCAUUCUUAGCUGUAUCUGGGUGAGUGCUUAGCUGCCUCCACUAUCAGGUCUCUUUUAUCAUUUCCCGCUCGCAGUAGCUUCAGGAUCCACAAGGUCCCACAAUAGGCUGUCUGCAAGCUGAGGGGCAAGGAGAGCCAGUCCGAGUCCCAAAACUGAAGAACGUGGAGUCUGAGGGCAGGAAGCAUCCAGCACGGGAGAAAGAUGUAGGCUGGGAGGCUAGGCCCGUCUCUCUCCUUUUCACAUUUUUCUGCCUACACUAUUAUAUUCACUGGCAGCUGAUUAGAUUGUGCCCACCAGAUUAAGGGUGGAUCUGCCUCCCCCAGCC